AGUUUCCAGUUCCUGUGCAAAGGAAGGGCACGCAUGUUUUUGUGCACAUGCAUGUGUAUAGUCAUCCUUAACUUCACUGUUAAACAGGACAUCGUGUGGACAAAAAGUCACAGCUCCACUCCAAGCUCAAGAUGCCUUUUGGUCAAUAAUGGUGACAAAAGCUGAAUUUUUCCCUAUUUAGGGAAAAGAAAGAACACAGCCAUUUCCCCCACUGUCCGUUUUGCAUAGAUCUCCUUUUUCCGAGUGUUUUCUCUUUAAUUAUGACCUGUCUCCCCUCCCUCUCCCCUCGCCUCAGCUUCAGUGAAAGGAGUCCUUCUGUCACUCGUCACUAGCUCGCUCGCUCACUGUGGGAGGAGCCCGCCUGAAGAAGCCGUGUGCCUGGGAUGCCAAGAGCCAGAGAAUGGAUCUGCUCCGAGUGGGGACAUUGCUGACAAUCCCGGCUUCCAGAGGCGGCUAAGAACAGGCAGUUUGUGUCGGCUGGCUGCAGAUACCCAGAGGCACAAAGAGACCGAAACCACCCGGAGGGACCCACGGACGGACAGAUGGUAGGCGCGAACCCGAGAGGACCGGCGGAGGCUGAGCACCGAGAGCCGCCAAGGAAGAGAAACUAACUGCACACCCAAGUUACCCCGCCGGCUUUCCUUCGCUGCGCUAAGGAAUGAAACCUUUCCAGCUCGAUCUGCUCUUCGUCUGCUUCUUCCUUUUCAGUCAAGAGCUGGGCCUCCAGAAGAGAGGAUGCUGUCUGGUGCUGGGCUACAUGGCCAAGGACAAGUUUCGGAGAAUGAAUGAAGAGACAGAGUUUUGCUCUUGUUGCCCAGGCUGGAAUGCAAUGGCGUGAUCUCGGCUCACUGCAAGCCCCGCCUCCCAGGUUCAAGCGAUUCUCCUGCCUCAGCCUCCUGAGUAGCUGGGACUACAGGCACCCACCACCUCAUUCGGCUGAUUUUUUGUAUGUUUAGUAGAGACGGGGUUUCGCCAUGUCGGGCAGGCUGGUCUCGAACUCCUGACCUCAGGUGAUCCACCUGCCUCAGCCUCUCAAAGUGCUGGGAUUACAGGCAUGCGACUAAUAUUCUUAAUGUAACCCUGUGGCUUAGGAGUAGGAGAAAUCUAGAUUCAAAUCCCAGGUGUAGUCAGGGCAGGCUUAGACCCCUAUCAUUACAGAUUCUCCAGGCCAGAAGGGACCAAAGGUCAUCUGGUUCCAUAUCCCUGUCAAGCACCAACGUGUGUAAAGACUGUGAACACAGCCGUAUGCUCAUUUAUUCACCAACCAUGUGUCCAGUGCCCGCUCUGUGCCUGGCGCUGUGCAUGUAAAAACACAGUCCCUGCCCCCAAGGAUACCACUGUCUUGAGGGGAAAGACAAACACGUCAGCAACUACAAUACAAUGUCGCAGUUGCGGUAACCGGGUAUGAAUAAGUAGCUAUGGAAACAGAGAAGGAGAAUCCAAUCACACUGUAGGCCAGGAGAGGAGUGUCCAGCAUGGCUUCUGGAGAAAUGAGCCCUGUGAGAUGUUUUAUUAUAAGAGGCUGUUGCAACCUAUGCUUGAAUCCCUCCAAAGACAAGAAACUAGCAGCCUGCCGAGGCGGUGGGCAGCUCCUCAGCCAGGCUCUCCAAACACCACACCCCUUCCACCCCAGGAGGCUGCAGUUUUCACAUUCUAGCUUUAUUGAUGACAAGGGGACCCAGUGACUUGGACAGCAGCCACUGGCAAGAUCCUGGGGUCUCCACUAUGUCAACUGCACCAAGGAUGCCUCCUUUCUUCUCUCUGCUUCUUUCUUCCAUCCCCAGCCAGCCUCAAAGGCUUCAUCACAGAAUUCUUUGAGUGCUGAGACCCUCCCCCAGCCCUCUCCCCAGGGUCUGAAGAAAGCCCCAGAGAAGUUGCAAUAAAUGAAGGUGCUUAAUGGCUUGCGGUGCCAUAAAGUUUUUAGAGCUCUGCGCUGGAAUGAGCAGGUUCAGGCUGAGAUGAAUUAUCCAGGGCUUUUAUCAAAGGGAGUCAAUAAAAACCUGAAGGAUCUUGCCCCACC
This 2020-nucleotide small RNA is filed under the name Pongo abelii (Sumatran orangutan). Its description in RNAcentral is "processed transcript". The record is from RNAcentral. Lineage: Eukaryota; Metazoa; Chordata; Mammalia; Primates; Hominidae.